CCUACGGGAGGCAGCAGUGAGGAAUAUUGGUCAAUGGCCGAAAGGCUGAACCAGCCAAGCCGCGUGAAGGACGAAGGUUCCAGGCAUUGUAAACUUCUUUUGUCAAGGGACAAAAUCAGGCUCGAGAGCCUGACCGAGGGUACUUGAAGAAAAAGCAUCGGCUAACUCCGUGCCAGCAGCCGCGGUAAUACGGAGGAUGCGGGGUUUAUCCGGAUUUAUUGGGUUUAAAGGGUGCGUAGGCGGACUGUUAAGUCAGAGGUAAAAGCCCGGGGCUCAACCCCGGCGAGCCGUUGAAACUGGCUGUAUGGAGAGGGCGAGAGGUAUGCGGAAUGCGCAGUGUAGCGGUGAAAGGCUUAGAUAUUGCGCAGAACUCAGAUUGCGAAGGCAGCAUACCGGCGGCGAUCUGACGCUGAGGCACGAAAGCGUGGGUAUCGAACAGGAUUAGAUACCCCUGUAGUC
This 459-nucleotide ribosomal RNA is filed under the name uncultured bacterium. RNAcentral describes it as "partial 16S ribosomal RNA". It matches the Rfam family "Bacterial small subunit ribosomal RNA", at positions 338 to 795 of the family's 1533-position model. The record is from RNAcentral.